UUGACCUCGAAUCAGGUAGGGAUACCCGCUGAACUUAAGCAUAUCAAUAAGCGGAGGAAAAGAAACCAACCGGGAUUACCUCAGUAACGGCGAGUGAAGCGGUAACAGCUCAAAUUUGAAAUCUGGCUCCUACGGAGUCCGAGUUGUAAUUUGUAGAAGAUGCUUUGGGAGGUAGGGCCGGCCUAAGUUCCUUGGAACAGGACAUCAGAGAGGGUGAGAAUCCCGUAUGUGGCCGUGACCUACGCCCGUGUAAAGCUCUUUCGACGAGUCGAGUUGUUUGGGAAUGCAGCUCAAAAUGGGUGGUAAAUUUCAUCUAAAGCUAAAUAUUGGCCAGAGACCGAUAGCGCACAAGUAGAGUGAUCGAAAGAUGAAAAGCACUUUGGAAAGAGAGUUAAACAGUACGUGAAAUUGUUGAAAGGGAAGCGCUUGCACCCAGACUUGGGCGUCGUCGAUCACCCGAGGUUCUCCUCGGUGCACUCGACGAUGCACAGGCCAGCAUCGGUUUGGGUGGUUGGAGAAAGGCUCUAGGAACGUAGCUCUCUUCGGGGAGUGUUAUAGCCUAGGGCGUAAUGCAGCCCAUCCGGACCGAGGACCGCGCCUUCGGGCUAGGAUGCUGGCGUAAUGGUUGCAAGCGACCCGUCUUGAAACACGGACCAAGGAGUCUAACAUCUAUGCGAGUGUUUGGGCGUUAAACCCAUACGCGGAAUGAAAGUGAACG
This 718-nucleotide ribosomal RNA is filed under the name Golovinomyces riedlianus. RNAcentral's name for it is "eukaryotic LSU rRNA". It matches the Rfam family "Eukaryotic large subunit ribosomal RNA", at positions 1 to 731 of the family's 3401-position model. Lineage: Eukaryota; Fungi; Ascomycota; Leotiomycetes; Helotiales; Erysiphaceae. The record is from RNAcentral.